UACGUAGGUGGCGAGCGUUGUCCGGAUUUACUGGGCGUAAAGAGCGCGCAGGCGGUCGUUCAAGUCGCGUGUGAAAGCCCCCGGCUCAACUGGGGAGGGUCACGCGAUACUGAUCGACUCGAAGGCAGGAGAGGGUAGUGGAAUUCCCGGUGUAGUGGUGAAAUGCGUAGAGAUCGGCAGGAACACCAAGGGAGAAGUCAGCCACCUGGGCAUGUGCUGACGCUGAGGUGCGAAAGCGUGGGGAGCGAACUGG
This 253-nucleotide ribosomal RNA is filed under the name uncultured bacterium. Its description in RNAcentral is "partial 16S ribosomal RNA". It matches the Rfam family "Bacterial small subunit ribosomal RNA", at positions 524 to 776 of the family's 1533-position model. The record is from RNAcentral.